AGUGAACGCUGGCGGUAGGCCUAACACAUGCAAGUCGAACGGCAGCACAGUAAGAGCUUGCUCUUACGGGUGGCGAGUGGCGGACGGGUGAGGAAUACAUCGGAAUCUACUUUUUCGUGGGGGAUAACGUAGGGAAACUUACGCUAAUACCGCAUACGACCUACGGGUGAAAGCAGUGGAUCUUCGGACCUUGCGCGAUUGAAUGAGCCGAUGUCGGAUUAGCUAGUUGGCGAGGUAAAGGCCCACCAAGGCGACGAUGCGUAGCUGGUCUGAGAGGGUGAUCGGCCACACUGGAACUGAGACACGGUCCAGACUCCUACGGGAGGCAGCAGUAGGGAAUCUUCCGAAAUGGGCGAAAGCCUGACGGAGCAACGCCGAGUGAGUGAUGAAGGUCUUCGGAUCGUAAAACUCUGUUAUUAGGGAAGAAAAAAUGUGUAAGUAACUAUGCACGUCUUGACGGUAGCUAAUCAGAAAGCCACGGCUAACUACGUG
RNAcentral lists this ribosomal RNA (492 nucleotides) under uncultured bacterium. RNAcentral's name for it is "partial 16S ribosomal RNA". It matches the Rfam family "Bacterial small subunit ribosomal RNA", at positions 29 to 507 of the family's 1533-position model. The record is from RNAcentral.